This 253-nucleotide ribosomal RNA is filed under the name uncultured bacterium. RNAcentral's name for it is "partial 16S ribosomal RNA". It matches the Rfam family "Bacterial small subunit ribosomal RNA", at positions 524 to 776 of the family's 1533-position model. The record is from RNAcentral.
UACGUAGGUGGCGAGCGUUGUCCGGAAUUAUUGGGCGUAAAGCGCGCGCAGGCGGUCAUUUAAGUCUGCUGUGAAAGCCCACGGCUCAACCGUGGAGGGUCAUUGGAAACUGGGGGACUUGAGUGCAGGAGAGAAGAGUGGAAUUCCACGUGUAGCGGUGAAAUGCGUAGAGAUGUGGAGGAACACCAGUGGCGAAGGCGACUCUUUGGCGUGUAACUGACGCUGAGGCGCGAAAGCGUGGGGAGCAAACAGG